This 468-nucleotide ribosomal RNA is filed under the name uncultured bacterium. RNAcentral's name for it is "partial 16S ribosomal RNA". It matches the Rfam family "Bacterial small subunit ribosomal RNA", at positions 28 to 507 of the family's 1533-position model. The record is from RNAcentral.
GACGAACGCUGGCGGCGUGCUUAACACAUGCAAGUCGAACGGAAAGGCCCUGCUUUUGUGGGGUGCUCGAGUGGCGAACGGGUGAGUAACACGUGAGUAACCUGCCCUUGACUUUGGGAUAACUUCAGGAAACUGGGGCUAAUACCGGAUAGGAGCUCCUGCUGCAUGGUGGGGGUUGGAAAGUUUCGGCGGUUGAGGAUGGACUCGCGGCUUAUCAGCUUGUUGGUGGGGUAGUGGCUUACCAAGGCUUUGACGGGUAGCCGGCCUGAGAGGGUGACCCGCCACAUUGGGACUGAGAUACGGCCCAGACUCCUACGGGAGGCAGCAGUGGGGAAUAUUGCACAAUGGGCGGAAGCCUGAUGCAGCAACGCCGCGUGCGGGAUGACGGCCUUCGGGUUGUAAACCGCUUUCGCCUGUGACGAAGCGUGAGUGACGGUAAUGGGUAAAGAAGCACCGGCUAACUACGUG